AAAACAUGUCUUUUUGAAAAUAAUAUAAAGUCUAAUCUGCCCACUGAUAAUUUAUUGAAGGGCUGCAGUAUAUUGACUGUACAAAGGUAGCAUAAUCAUUAGUCAUUUAAUUGAUGACUGGUAUGAAAGAUUGGAUGAGAUAUAUACUGUCUCUUAAUUAAUUAUAGAAUUUAAUUUUUUUAUUAAAAAGUUAAAAUAUUUUAAAAAGACGAGAAGACCCUAUAGAGUUUAAUAAAUUAAUAAAUUGAUUUUAUUUUGUAAAAUAAUACUGAAAUUUGAUAAUUUAUUUUGUUGGGGUGAUAAAAAAAUAAAUAAAACUUUUUUUAUAUAUAAACAUUUAUAAGUGAUUAAAUGAUCCAAUAAUAUUGAUUAUAAGAAAAAAUUACCUUAGGGAUAACAGCGUAAUUUUUUUUUUUAGUUCAAAUAAGAAAAAGAGUUUGCGACCUCGAUGUUGGAUUAAGAUAAAAUUUAAAUGUAGUAGUUUAAAAUUUUGAUCUGUUCGAUCAUUAAAAUCUUACAUGAUCU
This 525-nucleotide ribosomal RNA is filed under the name Acrapex sp. GJK-2017. RNAcentral describes it as "partial 16S ribosomal RNA". It matches the Rfam family "Archaeal large subunit ribosomal RNA", at positions 1902 to 2675 of the family's 2987-position model. The record is from RNAcentral. Lineage: Eukaryota; Metazoa; Arthropoda; Insecta; Lepidoptera; Noctuidae.